UCCGUCCGGGUCCGUGGUUGCGCCGUUCAGGUGCUCGCACCCGAGCGGCAAGCCGAUGCCAGUCGCAGGCGAAACGGCCCACGUAAGCCUUCCUCGCGGAGGCGAUCACGGUGCGGCUUAGAGGUAAGUCCUGCCCCGUCCCGGCCGUCAGAUGCGGUCGUCGGCGGGAGAAGGCCAGUAGUGGCGCCAGAGAUGGCGGAUGAGCUGCGAACGUCUCAGCAGGCGGUUGUGGGGUCGAAGACCAGGUCGGCCGGACGGG
This 259-nucleotide non-coding RNA is filed under the name unclassified sequences. RNAcentral describes it as "raiA RNA". It matches the Rfam family "raiA RNA". The record is from Rfam by way of RNAcentral.